This 433-nucleotide ribosomal RNA is filed under the name uncultured bacterium. RNAcentral's name for it is "bacterial SSU rRNA". It matches the Rfam family "Bacterial small subunit ribosomal RNA", at positions 8 to 482 of the family's 1533-position model. The record is from RNAcentral.
AGAGUUUGAUCCUGGCUCAGGGUGAACGCUGGUAACGUGGAUACCGGCAUGCAAGUCAAGGGGACCCGCAAGGGUAACCGGCGAACGGCUUAGUAACACGUGGGUACCAACCUUAAAGAGGGGCAUAGCUCGUCGAAAGACGGGGUAAUUUCCCAUAGUCUCGCAAGAGUAAAGGCGCAAGCCGCUUUAAGAUGGGCCCGCGGUCUAUCAGCUAGUUGGUGAGGUAACGGCUCACCAAGGCUAUGACGGAUAGGGGGCGUGAGAGCGCGACCCUCAAGAAUGGCACUGCGACACGGGCCAUACUCCUACGGGAGGCUGCAGUCGAGAAUCUUCCGCAAUGGACGAAAGUCUGACGGAGCGACGUUACGUGAAUGAAGAAGCCCUUCGGGGUGUAAAGUUCUUUUAUCUGGGAGGAAGUUAUUGACUUACCAGA